GGUUAAGCGACUAAGCGUACACGGUGGAUGCCCUGGCAGUCAGAGGCGAUGAAGGACGUGCUAAUCUGCGAAAAGCGUCGGUAAGGUGAUAUGAACCGUUAUAACCGGCGAUGUCCGAAUGGGGAAACCCAGUGCAAUUCGUUGCACUAUCGUUAACUGAAUACAUAGGUUAACGAGGCGAACCGGGGGAACUGAAACAUCUAAGUACCCCGAGGAAAAGAAAUCAACCGAGAUUCCCCCAGUAGCGGCGAGCGAACGGGGAGCAGCCCAGAGUCUGAAUCAGCUUGUGUGUUAGUGGAACGGUCUGGAAAGUCCGACGGUACAGGGUGAUAGUCCCGUACACCAAAAUGCACAGGUUGUGAACUCGAAGAGUAGGGCGGGACACGUGGUAUCCUGUCUGAAUAUGGGGGACCAUCCUCCAAGGCUAAAUACUCCUGACUGACCGAUAGUGAACCAGUACCGUGAGGGAAAGGCGAAAAGAACCCCGGCGAGGGGAGUGAAAAAGAACCUGAAACCGUGUACGUACAAGCAGUGGGAGCACCUUCGGGUGUGACUGCGUACCUUUUGUAUAAUGGGUCAGCGACUUAUAUUCUGUAGCAAGGUUAACCGUAUAGGGGAGCCGCAGGGAAACCGAGUCUUAACUGGGCGUUAAGUUGCAGGGUAUAGACCCGAAACCCGGUGAUCUAGCCAUGGGCAGGUUGAAGGUUGGGUAACACUAACUGGAGGACCGAACCGACUAAUGUUGAAAAAUUAGCGGAUGACUUGUGGCUGGGGGUGAAAGGCCAAUCAAACCGGGAGAUAGCUGGUUCUCCCCGAAAGCUAUUUAGGUAGCGCCUCGUGAACUCAUCUUCGGGGGUAGAGCACUGUUUCGGCUAGGGGGUCAUCCCGACUUACCAACCCGAUGCAAACUACGAAUACCGAAGAAUGUUAUCACGGGAGACACACGGCGGGUGCUAACGUCCGUCGUGAAGAGGGAAACAACCCAGACCGCCAGCUAAGGUCCCAAAGUCAUGGUUAAGUGGGAAACGAUGUGGGAAGGCACAGACAGCCAGGAUGUUGGCUUAGAAGCAGCCAUCAUUUAAAGAAAGCGUAAUAGCUCACUGGUCGAGUCGGCCUGCGCGGAAGAUGUAACGGGGCUAAACCAUGCACCGAAGCUGCGGCAGCGACACUAUGUGUUGUUGGGUAGGGGAGCGUUCUGUAAGCCUGCGAAGGUGACCUGUGAGGGUUGCUGGAGGUAUCAGAAGUGCGAAUGCUGACAUAAGUAACGAUAAAGCGGGUGAAAAGCCCGCUCGCCGGAAGACCAAGGGUUCCUGUCCAACGUUAAUCGGGGCAGGGUGAGUCGACCCCUAAGGCGAGGCCGAAAGGCGUAGUCGAUGGGAAACAGGUUAAUAUUCCUGUACUUGGUGUUACUGCGAAGGGGGGACGGAGAAGGCUAUGUUAGCCGGGCGACGGUUGUCCCGGUUUAAGCAUGUAGGCUGGUUGUCCAGGCAAAUCCGGAUAAUCAAGGCUGAGGUGUGAUGACGAGGCACUACGGUGCUGAAGUAACAAAUGCCCUGCUUCCAGGAAAAGCCUCUAAGCAUCAGGUAGCAUCAAAUCGUACCCCAAACCGACACAGGUGGUCAGGUAGAGAAUACCAAGGCGCUUGAGAGAACUCGGGUGAAGGAACUAGGCAAAAUGGUGCCGUAACUUCGGGAGAAGGCACGCUGGUGUGUAGGUGAAGUCCCUGCGGAUGGAGCUGAGACCAGUCGAAGAUACCAGCUGGCUGCAACUGUUUAUUAAAAACACAGCACUGUGCAAACACGAAAGUGGACGUAUACGGUGUGACGCCUGCCCGGUGCCGGAAGGUUAAUUGAUGGGGUUAUCCGUAAGGAGAAGCUCUUGAUCGAAGCCCCGGUAAACGGCGGCCGUAACUAUAACGGUCCUAAGGUAGCGAAAUUCCUUGUCGGGUAAGUUCCGACCUGCACGAAUGGCGUAAUGAUGGCCAGGCUGUCUCCACCCGAGACUCAGUGAAAUUGAACUCGCUGUGAAGAUGCAGUGUACCCGCGGCAAGACGGAAAGACCCCGUGAACCUUUACUAUAGCUUGACACUGAACAUUGAGCCUUGAUGUGUAGGAUAGGUGGGAGGCUUUGAAGCGUGGACGCCAGUCUGCGUGGAGCCAACCUUGAAAUACCACCCUUUAAUGUUUGAUGUUCUAACGUUGGCCCCUUACCGGGGUUGCGGACAGUGUCUGGUGGGUAGUUUGACUGGGGCGGUCUCCUCCCAAAGCGUAACGGAGGAGCACGAAGGUUAGCUAAUCCUGGUCGGACAUCAGGAGGUUAGUGCAAUGGCAUAAGCUAGCUUGACUGCGAGCGUGACGGCGCGAGCAGGUGCGAAAGCAGGUCAUAGUGAUCCGGUGGUUCUGAAUGGAAGGGCCAUCGCUCAACGGAUAAAAGGUACUCCGGGGAUAACAGGCUGAUACCGCCCAAGAGUUCAUAUCGACGGCGGUGUUUGGCACCUCGAUGUCGGCUCAUCACAUCCUGGGGCUGAAGUAGGUCCCAAGGGUAUGGCUGUUCGCCAUUUAAAGUGGUACGCGAGCUGGGUUUAGAACGUCGUGAGACAGUUCGGUCCCUAUCUGCCGUGGGCGCUGGAGAAUUGAGGGGGGCUGCUCCUAGUACGAGAGGACCGGAGUGGACGCAUCACUGGUGUUCGGGUUGUCAUGCCAAUGGCACUGCCCGGUAGCUAAAUGCGGAAGAGAUAAGUGCUGAAAGCAUCUAAGCACGAAACUUGCCCCGAGAUGAGUUCUCCCUGAGACUUUAAGUCUCCUGAAGGAACGUUAAAGACGAUGACGUUGAUAGGCCGGGUGUGUAAGCGCAGCGAUGCGUUGAGCUAACCGGUACUAAUGAACCGUGAGGCUUAACCUU
RNAcentral lists this ribosomal RNA (2901 nucleotides) under Klebsiella pneumoniae. RNAcentral's name for it is "23S ribosomal RNA". It matches the Rfam family "Bacterial large subunit ribosomal RNA". The record is from RNAcentral. Lineage: Bacteria; Pseudomonadati; Pseudomonadota; Gammaproteobacteria; Enterobacterales; Enterobacteriaceae.